AUUGAACGCUGGCGGCAUGCUUUACACAUGCAAGUCGAACGGCAGCGCGGGCUUCGGCUUGGCGGCGAGUGGCGAACGGGUGAGUAAUUCAUCGGAACGUGCCCCGCAGUGGGGGAUAGCUCGGCGAAAGCCGGGUUAAUACCACAUACGACCUGAUGGUGAAAGCGGGGGGUGUUCGGACCGCUCGCGCUUGUAGCGGCCGAGGGCCGGCUAGCUAGUUGGUGGGGUAAAGGCCUACCUAGGCGACGAUCUGUAGCUGGUCUGAGAGGACGACCAGCCACAGUGGGGCUGAGACGCGGCCCAGACACCGACGGGAGGCAGCAGUGGGGAAUUUUGGACACAGGGCGAAAGCCUGAUCCAGGAAUGCAGGCUGUGUGAUGAAGGCCUUCGGGUUGUAAAGCACUUUUGGCGGGAACGAAAAGGACUGUGCCAAUACCACGGUUCGAUGACGGUACCCGCAGAAUAAGCACCGGCUAACUACGU
This 483-nucleotide ribosomal RNA is filed under the name uncultured bacterium. RNAcentral's name for it is "partial 16S ribosomal RNA". It matches the Rfam family "Bacterial small subunit ribosomal RNA", at positions 28 to 506 of the family's 1533-position model. The record is from RNAcentral.